Molecule: microRNA precursor, 204 nt
Organism: Oryza sativa Japonica Group (Japanese rice)
Lineage: Eukaryota; Viridiplantae; Streptophyta; Magnoliopsida; Poales; Poaceae
Rfam family: MIR812 microRNA precursor family
Source: Rfam
AAAAAGUCAAACCAUAUAUUUGCGUGUCCAAUUUUGACUGUCCGUUUUAUAUGAAAUUUUUUUAUAAUUCGUAUUUUCAUUAUUGUUAUAUGAUAAAACAUGAUUAAUAUUUUAUGCGUGACUUGUCUUUUUAAUUUUUUUCAUAAUUUUUUUAAAUAAGACGGACGGUCAAACGUUGGACACGAAACAAAUAUCGCAGUUAAA